GCCUGGGUGGCUUUGUUGGUUGAGCGUCUGACUUCAGCUCAGGUCAUGAUCUUGUGGUUUGUGAGUUCGAGCCCCGCAUCGGGCU
Molecule: transfer RNA, 85 nt
Organism: Felis catus (domestic cat)
Lineage: Eukaryota; Metazoa; Chordata; Mammalia; Carnivora; Felidae
Rfam family: tRNA
About the family: Transfer RNA (tRNA) molecules are approximately 80 nucleotides in length. Their secondary structure includes four short double-helical elements and three loops (D, anti-codon, and T loops). Further hydrogen bonds mediate the characteristic L-shaped molecular structure. tRNAs have two regions of fundamental functional importance: the anti-codon, which is responsible for specific mRNA codon recognition, and the 3' end, to which the tRNAs corresponding amino acid is attached (by aminoacyl-tRNA synthetases). tRNAs cope with the degeneracy of the genetic code in two manners: having more than one tRNA (with a specific anti-codon) for a particular amino acid; and 'wobble' base-pairing, i.e. permitting non-standard base-pairing at the 3rd anti-codon position.
Source: Rfam